Eriocheir sinensis (Chinese mitten crab) is the source of this 1331-nucleotide long non-coding RNA. RefSeq lists it as uncharacterized. The transcript has 3 exons. The record is from RefSeq and is a predicted model, not a curated record. Lineage: Eukaryota; Metazoa; Arthropoda; Malacostraca; Decapoda; Varunidae.
GGUGAGGUGUUAAGACGUAGGGUUGGUAUUGUCACAUCCUCCCACCCCUCACACACACUAAUCCAUAGGGCCAAAAAGAAGGUUAAUCGAGUUCUAAUGAGUGUUCUUUUAGGUUCACGGUACAGAAGAAGGCUCAGACUACCACCAGGGUCAUAAAAGUACCCCUGGAAAUGCCCUAAACUCCCACGAAAGACUAGUAAAUUACGUGUUCUAAUGAGUGUUCUUUUAGGUUCACGGUACAGAAGAAGGCUCAGACUACCACCAGGGUCAUAAAAGUACCCCUGGAAAUGCCCUAAACUCCCACGAAAGACUAGUUAAUUACGUGUUCUAAUGAGUGUUCUUUUAGGUUCACGGUACAGAAGAAGGCUCAGACAACCACCAGGGUCAUAAAAGUACCCCUGGAAAUGCCCUAAACUCCCACGAAAGACUAGUAAAUUACGUGUUCUAAUGAGUGUUCUUUUAGGUUCACGAUACAGAAGAAGGCUCAGACUACCACCAGGGUCAUAAAAGUACCCCUGGAAAUGCCCUAAACUCCCACGAAAGACUAGUAAAUUACGUGUUCUAAUGAGUGUUCUUUUAGGUUCACGGUACAGAAGAAGGCUCAGACUACCACCAGGGUCAUAAAAGUACCCCUGGAAAUGCCCUAAACUCCCACGAAAGACUAGUAAAUUACGUGUUCUAAUGAGUGUUCUUUUAGGUUCACGGUACAGAAGAAGGCUCAGACUACCACCAGGGUCAUAAAAGUACCCCUGGAAAUGCCCUAAACUCCCACGAAAGACUAGUAAAUUACGUGUUCUAAUGAGUGUUCUUUUAGGUUCACGGUACAGAAGAAGGCUCAGACUACCACCAGGGUCAUAAAAGUACCCCUGGAAAUGCCCUAAACUCCCACGAAAGACAAGUAAAUUACGUGUUCUAAUGAGUGUUCUUUUAGGUUCACGGUACAGAAGAAGGCUCAGACUACCACCAGGGUCAUAAAAGUACGCCUGUAAAUGCCCUAAACUCCCACGAAAGACUAGUAAAUUACGUGUUCUAAUGAGUGUUCUUUUAGGUUCACGGUACAGAAGAAGGCUCAGACUACCACCAGGGUCAUAAAAGUACCCCUGGAAAUGCCCUAAACUCCCACGAAAGACUAGUUAAUUACGUGUUCUUGGGCACAGAAAUGUUUAAUAAUAUGGCCCUGGGGAUCGGGAAGCUCUCGUGGGGGACAACAGCUCUCCCUGGACUAAAGGAUCUGUGUAUUAUGUUGAUAUGUGUAAAUCUUUUUAGUUCCCCCCCAACUCUCUCCCUCCCUAAUCAUUUUAUCUAUAGCAAACGAUAAGGGGAGAGAGAGA